CGGAGGAAAAGAAACUAACAAGGAUUCCCCUAGUAACUGCGAGUGAAGCGGGAACAGCUCAAAUUUGAAAUCUGGCGGCUCCGCCGUCCGAGUUGUAAUCUGGAGAAGCGUCUUCCGUGCCGGACCGUGUACAAGUCCCUUGGAACAGGGCGUCAUAGAGGGUGAGAAUCCCGUCUUUGACACGGACUCCCGGUGCUCUGCGAUGCGCUCUCGAAGAGUCGAGUUGUUUGGGAAUGCAGCUCAAAAUGGGUGGUAAAUUCCAUCUAAAGCUAAAUAUUGGCGAGAGACCGAUAGCGAACAAGUACCGUGAGGGAAAGAUGAAAAGCACUUUGGAAAGAGAGUAAAACAGUACGUGAAAUUGUUGAAAGGGAAACGCUUGGAGUCAGUCGCGUCUUCCGGAACUCAGCCUUGCUUCUGCUCGGCGCACUUUCCGGUUUGACGGGCCAGCAUCGGCUCUGGGGGACGGACAAAGGCGUGGGGAAGGUGGCAGCUCCGGCUGUGUUAUAGCCCCUGCGUUGUACGCGCCCUCCGGGACCGAGGAAWCCGGCGCUCGCCGCCCGGGAUGCUGGCGUAAUGGCUUUAAGCGACCCGUCUUGA
This 597-nucleotide ribosomal RNA is filed under the name Subulicystidium robustius. RNAcentral's name for it is "LSU rRNA". It matches the Rfam family "Eukaryotic large subunit ribosomal RNA", at positions 51 to 657 of the family's 3401-position model. Lineage: Eukaryota; Fungi; Basidiomycota; Agaricomycetes; Trechisporales; Hydnodontaceae. The record is from RNAcentral.